This 799-nucleotide ribosomal RNA is filed under the name Bacillus subtilis. RNAcentral's name for it is "bacterial SSU rRNA". It matches the Rfam family "Bacterial small subunit ribosomal RNA", at positions 63 to 843 of the family's 1533-position model. Lineage: Bacteria; Bacillati; Bacillota; Bacilli; Caryophanales; Bacillaceae. The record is from RNAcentral.
CGAGCGGACAGAUGGGAGCUUGCUCCCUGAUGUUAGCGGCGGACGGGUGAGUAACACGUGGGUAACCUGCCUGUAAGACUGGGAUAACUCCGGGAAACCGGGGCUAAUACCGGAUGGUUGUUUGAACCGCAUGGUUCAAACAUAAAAGGUGGCUUCGGCUACCACUUACAGAUGGACCCGCGGCGCAUUAGCUAGUUGGUGAGGUAACGGCUCACCAAGGCAACGAUGCGUAGCCGACCUGAGAGGGUGAUCGGCCACACUGGGACUGAGACACGGCCCAGACUCCUACGGGAGGCAGCAGUAGGGAAUCUUCCGCAAUGGACGAAAGUCUGACGGAGCAACGCCGCGUGAGUGAUGAAGGUUUUCGGAUCGUAAAGCUCUGUUGUUAGGGAAGAACAAGUACCGUUCGAAUAGGGCGGUACCUUGACGGUACCUAACCAAAAAGCCACGGCUAACUACGUGCCAGCAGCCGCGGUAAUACGUAGGUGGCAAGCGUUGUCCGGAAUUAUUGGGCGUAAAGGGCUCGCAGGCGGUUUCUUAAGUCUGAUGUGAAAGCCCCCGGCUCAACCGGGGAGGGUCAUUGGAAACUGGGGAACUUGAGUGCAAAAAAGGAGAGUGGAAUUCCACGUGUAGCGGUGAAAUGCGUAGAGAUGUGGAGGAACACCAGUGGCGAAGGCGACUCUCUGGUCUGUAACUGACGCUGAGGAGCGAAAGCGUGGGGAGCGAACAGGAUUAGAUACCCUGGUAGUCCACGCCGUAAACGAUGAGUGCUAAGUGUUAGGGGGUUUCCGCCCCUUAG